This 374-nucleotide unclassified non-coding RNA is filed under the name soil metagenome. RNAcentral describes it as "partial contains internal transcribed spacer 2 and large subunit ribosomal RNA". The stretch from base 1 to 120 matches the Rfam family "5.8S ribosomal RNA", at positions 35 to 154 of the family's 154-position model. The record is from RNAcentral.
GAUGAAGAACGUAGCGAAAUGCGAUAAUUAAUGUGAAUUGCAGAAUUCCGUGAAUCAUCGAGUCUUUGAACGCACAUUGCGCCUCAUGGCAUUCCGUGAGGCAUGCCCAUCUCAGCGUUAGAAAAUAUUCUCAAAUUUUAGUUUUGUGCUAAAAUUUGGAUCCUGUCAAGUAAGCUAUUACUAUUAUUGUGAUCGCUCUUUGGAAAUUGAUAGGUCUUUGAGUUGCUACUCAUAGAACGUGAUGAAUCUUUCUUCGUUCUAUUGUAAUUCACUCUGGUAGUCCUAAAACUUGUAUGCCUGUGGCAUAUCUUGUAAUUUGACCUGAGAUUGGGUAGGGAUACCCGCUGAACUUAAGCAUAUCAAUAAGCGGAGGA